This 440-nucleotide ribosomal RNA is filed under the name uncultured bacterium. Its description in RNAcentral is "partial 16S ribosomal RNA". It matches the Rfam family "Bacterial small subunit ribosomal RNA", at positions 338 to 795 of the family's 1533-position model. The record is from RNAcentral.
CCUACGGGCGGCAGCAGUGGGGAAUAUUGCACAAUGGGGGAAACCCUGAUGCAGCAACGCCGCGUGAGGGAAGAAGUCAUUCGUUAUGUAAAGCUCUAUCAGCAGGGAAGAGAAUGACGCUACCUGAGUAGGAAGCCCCGGCUAACUACGUGCCAGCAGCCGCGGUAAUACGUAGGGGGCAAGCGUUAUCCGGAUUUACUGGGUGUAAAGGGGGCGUGGACGGAAGUGCAAGUCUGGAGUGAAAGGCGGGGGCUCAACCCCCGGACUGCUCUGGAAACUGUACGGCUGGAGGGUAGGAGAGGUAAGUGGAAUUCCGAGUGUAGCGGUGAAAUGCGUAGAUAUCAGGAGGAACACCAGUGGCGAAGGCGGCUUACUGGAAUGUAACUGACGUUGAGGAGCGAAAGCGUGGGGAGCAAACAGGAUUAGAUACCCGGGUAGUC